AUACGGAGGGUGCAAGCGUUAUCCGGAUUCAUUGGGUUUAAAGGGUGCGCAGGCGGACUUGUAAGUCAGUGGUGAAAUCCCGGGGCUCAACCUCGGAACUGCCAUUGAUACUGCAAGUCUUGAGUUUGGUUGAAGUGGGCGGAAUGUAGCAUGUAGCGGUGAAAUGCAUAGAUAUGCUACAGAACACCGAUCGCGAAGGCAGCUCACUAAACCAACUCUGACGCUCAGGCACGAAAGCGUGGGGAGCGAACAGGAUUAGAAACCCUAGUAGUCC
Molecule: ribosomal RNA, 274 nt
Filed under: uncultured bacterium
Lineage: Bacteria
Description: partial 16S ribosomal RNA
Rfam family: Bacterial small subunit ribosomal RNA
Source: RNAcentral